This is a long non-coding RNA of Drosophila elegans, 372 nucleotides long. RefSeq lists it as uncharacterized. NCBI's taxonomy places the organism in Eukaryota, Metazoa, Arthropoda, Insecta, Diptera, Drosophilidae. The record is from RefSeq and is a predicted model, not a curated record. The transcript has 2 exons.
UUUACCAGCCGCAAUCGAGCAAUAUAGUAUAUGGACUGUAUAUAUGCUUGCACGAUUCCGAUAAAGUGGGUUUAAGUUGGCGAGAGCGGCAAAAAAAAGAGAGAGCUUGGAAAACGGGCGCGUAACAAUUAACUUUUUCUUACCAACUGGAAUGGGAAUAAUAAUUGCACAUAUGGUAGUGCUGGGUAACGACCAACACUGGAGGAAAGUAUCGAUGGAACUGCUGGCAGUGCUGGAAAGGUUCGGUUUGAAAAGUACCGGAAAUGGCGCCCAAUUAAACAUUUAAAAACCUAGCAAUGUAAAAUUUCCCUAUUUCAAAAUUUGAUCAUUACAUUUUAUAAACAAAGAGAAGAAUAAAUCACAUUUUACGAA